GGGGGCGACAAGGUUUCGACGGGGGUAGAGUGGGUUAGAGUAGCGAGUCGGGUUCCCGACACCCGUAAAACAGGGAAAAACAAAACAAACGCAAACAAUAAAUUAGCGUUCGCCGCCUAAUAAGGCGGUCGUCGGCCUGAUCUUUUCCUGUGAGAUUAGCAACCGGCGUCAAGAAAGCAGGAGUAGGGUUUCCGAUCGUCUGGUAGGAAGCGCGAAAUUAACAGACUAGCGACAUCGUAAGCCUGUCAGCGGGCGUACGAAAGGGCGAAUCACCAAACCACUGACUUCACUCGGAGAAGCUCUAGCUGGCAUGCCUUCGGACGGUGGGUUCGACUCCCCCCGCCUCCACCA
This 351-nucleotide transfer-messenger RNA is filed under the name Bacillota bacterium. It matches the Rfam family "transfer-messenger RNA". From Rfam's summary of the family: Bacterial tmRNA, also known as 10Sa RNA or SsrA, is named for its dual tRNA and mRNA-like properties. Its role is to liberate the mRNA from a stalled ribosome. To accomplish this part of the tmRNA is used as a reading frame that ends in a translation stop signal. Lineage: Bacteria; Bacillati; Bacillota. The record is from RNAcentral.